RNAcentral lists this transfer RNA (67 nucleotides) under Coquillettidia chrysonotum. Its description in RNAcentral is "tRNA-Cys". The record is from RNAcentral. Lineage: Eukaryota; Metazoa; Arthropoda; Insecta; Diptera; Culicidae.
AACUUUAUAUUCAAUGAUGAUAGUAGACUGCAAUUCUAAAGGAAUAAUAUAAUAAUUAUUAAAGUUU